GGCGUGCCUAACACAUGCAAGUCGAGCGAUCUCUUCGGAGAGAGCGGCGGACGGGUGAGUAACGCGUGGGUAACCUGCCCUGUACACACGGAAUAACAUACCGAAAGGUAUACUAAUACGGGAUAACAUACGAAAGUCGCAUGGCUUUUGUAUCAAAGCUCCGGCGGUACAGGAUGGACCCGCGUCUGAUUAGCUAGUUGGUAAGGUAAUGGCUUACCAAGGCAACGAUCAGUAGCCGACCUGAGAGGGUGAUCGGCCACACUGGAACUGAGACACGGUCCAGACUCCUACGGGAGGCAGCAGUGGGGAAUAUUGCACAAUGGGCGAAAGCCUGAUGCAGCAACGCCGCGUGAGCGAUGAAGGCCUUCGGGUCGUAAAGCUCUGUCCUCAAGGAAGAUAAUGACGGUACUUGAGGAGGAAGCCCCGGCUAACUACGUGCCAGCAGCCGCGGUAAUACGUAGGGGGCUAGCGUUAUCCGGAAUUACUGGGCGUAAAGGGUGCGUAGGUGGUUUUUUAAGUCAGAAGUGAAAGGCUACGGCUCAACCGUAGUAAGCUUUUGAAACUAGAGAACUUGAGUGCAGGAGAGGAGAGUAGAAUUCCUAGUGUAGCGGUGAAAUGCGUAGAUAUUAGGAGGAAUACCCAGUAGCGAAGGCGGGCUCUCUGGNACUGUAACUGACACUG
Molecule: ribosomal RNA, 681 nt
Filed under: uncultured bacterium
Lineage: Bacteria
Description: bacterial SSU rRNA
Rfam family: Bacterial small subunit ribosomal RNA
Source: RNAcentral